Oncorhynchus tshawytscha (Chinook salmon) is the source of this 708-nucleotide long non-coding RNA. Lineage: Eukaryota; Metazoa; Chordata; Actinopteri; Salmoniformes; Salmonidae. The record is from Ensembl.
CGCCAUAGAGAGAGAGAGCAGACCACAGCCCCCGGCAUUAUGACUAGCCUGUCUUUGUCUACCCACCCGGACCAUACUAUCCGAAUGUAGAUCGCUGGUACUGCAGUUUAAAGGUCACCUGGGACAUGCGCAAAACCAUGUAAACGCCUGCAUGACAUCGACCAGCUGAAGGACCAACCAGACAGACAACCAGCAAAAAUUCCGCAGCAGAACAUUUCGGAGUGGUGGUAGUGGUAGACGCAGCAGAGCAAGACCCUGGGAAGAGGCCGGUUGUCACCUUGGCCUUGGUACUGCUGUCCGGCUCAGGGUCAUGCCUGGGAACCUGUGGUGUCAGGAGCUCCUGUGGGAUCACAACUUGGAAUAUUAUGGGAAAAGGUGACUAUUGUUUCCCAGACAUCCUAUGCUGAUGUUUUACUGCUAUUUAAGCCUUUGUAUCCACAAUCCAACUAGGUUUUCUGUGUGUGUGUGUCUUUCCCUCCCCCUUUCCCUCCCAUCAUUUACACUCCAUUCCCAUAUCCUGCUGCAUCACUCUUUCCUUUCAUUGUAUCCCUCCAGCCCACAGGUUCCACUUUACAUAUUCCCACAGGAGACUGCUGACCUGCUACUGACCCCUCUGACAGCUAACAUCAAUCUGACAGUUAGAUCAGCAGAUGGAUGGCUGGAUGGAUGGAAGAAAAGAAGGACGUACAGUUGAAGUCGGAAGUUUAC